This 136-nucleotide microRNA precursor is filed under the name Hordeum vulgare. RNAcentral's name for it is "microRNA MIR1122". It matches the Rfam family "MIR1120/MIR1122 microRNA precursor family". The record is from RNAcentral. Lineage: Eukaryota; Viridiplantae; Streptophyta; Magnoliopsida; Poales; Poaceae.
UUAGUACUCCCUCCGUCCCAAAAUUCUUGUCUUAGAUUUAUCUAGAUAUGAAUGUAUGUAGUCACAUUUUAGUAUUUAGAUACAUCCAUUUCUAGAAAAAUUUAAGACAAGAAUUUUGGGACGAAGGGAGUACUAA